This is a long non-coding RNA of Cervus elaphus (red deer), 881 nucleotides long. RefSeq lists it as uncharacterized. The transcript is spliced from 3 exons. Lineage: Eukaryota; Metazoa; Chordata; Mammalia; Artiodactyla; Cervidae. The record is from RefSeq and is a predicted model, not a curated record.
GCCAUUUUCUUCUCCAGGGGAUCUUCCCAACCCAGGGAUCGAACCCGGGUCUCCCGCAUUGCAGGCAGACGCUUUACCAUCUGAGCCACUGAGGUGGCUUUUUUAAUAUAAAUCAAAAUUAGGCUGAUUUAAAAAGUAGGUGACUAGGUAUUCAUACCUGACCUCCCGCCCUCUGCCUUUACUCCAUUUUUUGUCAGGUCACCUGAGAGUGAUAGCCAAUGCAGCUGGCCACAGAGGAGGGUUGAGAAAGAAAAUAGGAAGGAAUGAGGGUUAAGAAAAUAAGUGGCAGAGGGGAAAGGAACAGCAGUUUUUUGACCCCAUAAAAAUUUCAUCCAAAAUCUGAUGGCCAGAGAGACCAGAGCCUUGCUAAUUAAGGUGCUUCUAAUUGGAAAACUUGUGAAUUCAGAUUAAGGGUGACCUUUUUCAUGAGACCUUUUUUCCACAGGGGGACGAUGAGUCAAUAAUAUAAAAAGCCUGCAGCAAUAAGUUACAACAGACACGUGGCUGCUUCCAUCUUGUCUUCACUGCACCCCCCCCCCAUCACUUGUUCCUGGGGGAAGUCAGCUGCCAAGUCACUAGUAGCCGCAUGGAGAGGCCCUCGUAGCAAAGAAAGCAUAGAUGCUCCAGACCCAGUCAAGGGUCAGAUGACCGCAACACCCACCAACGUCUGGACGGGAGCCUCUUGGGAGACCCUGCAUGGGAACCACCGGCUAAGCCACUCAGAUACCUGAGCCUCAGAAACUGCAAGAUCGCUUGCCCUGGGAGAAGCCAGCAGCCCUCUGAAGAGGGCCAUGUGGUGAAGAACCGAGGCUGCUGGCCAAAGUCAGCAAGGAAUGGAGGCUUCCUUCCAACAGAGAGAAAACAAGAUGCUUGGGCCAUCU